Molecule: ribosomal RNA, 513 nt
Filed under: uncultured bacterium
Lineage: Bacteria
Description: bacterial SSU rRNA
Rfam family: Bacterial small subunit ribosomal RNA
Source: RNAcentral
CUACGUGCCAGCAGCCGCGGUAAUACGGAAGGUCCGGGCGUUAUCCGGAUUUAUUGGGUUUAAAGGGAGCGUAGGCCGGAGAUUAAGUGUGUUGUGGAAUGUAGACGCUCAACGUCUGACUUGCAGCGCAUACUGGUUUCCUUGAGUACGCACAACGUUGGCGGAAUUCGUCGUGUAGCGGUGAAAUGCUUAGAUAUGACGAAGAACUCCGAUUGCGAAGGCAGCUGACGGGAGCGCAACUGACGCUUAAGCUCGAAAGUGCGGGUAUCGAACAGGAUUAGAUACCCUGGUAGUCCGCACGGUAAACGAUGGAUGCCCGUUGUCAGGCUGUUUCAGCCUGGUGACCAAGCGAAAGCAUUAAGCAUCCCACCUGGGGAGUACGCCGGCAACGGUGAAACUCAAAGGAAUUGACGGGGACCCGCACAAGCGGAGGAACAUGUGGUUUAAUUCGAUGAUACGCGAGGAACCUUACCCGGGCUUGAAUUGCAGACGAACGAUUCAGAGAUGAUGAGG